RNAcentral lists this ribosomal RNA (1374 nucleotides) under uncultured bacterium. RNAcentral's name for it is "16S ribosomal RNA". It matches the Rfam family "Bacterial small subunit ribosomal RNA", at positions 30 to 1393 of the family's 1533-position model. The record is from RNAcentral.
UGAACGCUGGCGGUAUGCUUAACACAUGCAAGUCGAACGGAAACGAUACUAGCUUGCUAGUAGGCGUCGAGUGGCGGACGGGUGAGUAACGCGUAGGAAUCUGCCUGAUAGUGGGGGAUAGCCCGAAGAAAUUCGGAUUAAUACCGCAUAAUCUAUUCGUAGUAAAGUGGGGGACUUUCGAGCCUCACGCUAUCAGAUGAGCCUGCGUAAGAUUAGCUUGUUGGUAGGGUAAAAGCCUACCAAGGCGACGAUCUUUAGCUGGUCUGAGAGGAUGAUCAGCCACAUCGGGACUGAGACACGGCCCGAACUCCUACGGGAGGCAGCAGUGGGGAAUAUUGGACAAUGGGGGCAACCCUGAUCCAGCAAUACCGCGUGUGUGAAGAAGGCCUGAGGGUUGUAAAGCACUUUCAAUUGUGAAGAAAAGUUAGCGGUUAAUAACCGUUAGCCUUGACGUUAACUUUAGAAGAAGCACCGGCUAACUCCGUGCCAGCAGCCGCGGUAAUACGGAGGGUGCAAGCGUUAAUCGGAAUUACUGGGCGUAAAGCGUGCGUAGGCGGUUUAUUAAGUCAGAUGUGAAAGCCCCGGGCUUAACCUGGGAACUGCAUUUGAAACUGGUCAACUAGAGUAUGGUAGAGGAAAGUGGAAUUUCUGGUGUAGCGGUGAAAUGCGUAGAUAUCAGAAAGGAACAUCAAUGGCGAAAGGCAGCUUUCUGGACCAAUACUGACGCUGAGGUACGAAAGCGUGGGUAGCAAACAGGAUUAGAUACCCUGGUAGUCCACGCCGUAAACGAUGAUAACUAGCCGUUGGGGGGAUUUACCCUUUAGUGGCGAAGCUAACGCGUUAAGUUAUCCGCCUGGGGAGUACGGCCGCAAGGUUAAAACUCAAAGGAAUUGACGGGGACCCGCACAAGCGGUGGAGCAUGUGGUUUAAUUCGAUGCAACGCGAAGAACCUUACCUGGUCUUGACAUCCUGCGAACUUUCUAGAAAUAGAUUGGUGCCUUCGGGAACGCAGUGACAGGUGCUGCAUGGCUGUCGUCAGCUCGUGUCGUGAGAUGUUGGGUUAAGUCCCGUAACGAGCGCAACCCCUAUCCUUAUUUGCCAGCACAUCAUGGUGGGAACUAUAAGGAGACUGCCGGUGAUAAACCGGAGGAAGGCGGGGACGACGUCAAGUCAUCAUGGCCCUUACGACCAGGGCUACACACGUGCUACAAUGGGAAGGACAAAGAGCCGCGAAGCCGCGAGGUGUAGCUAAUCUCAUAAACCUUUUCGUAGUCCGGAUUGGAGUCUGCAACUCGACUCCAUGAAGUCGGAAUCGCUAGUAAUCGUAGAUCAGAAUGCUACGGUGAAUACGUUCCCGGGUCUUGUACACACCGC